Aedes aegypti (yellow fever mosquito) is the source of this 1185-nucleotide long non-coding RNA. RefSeq lists it as uncharacterized. Lineage: Eukaryota; Metazoa; Arthropoda; Insecta; Diptera; Culicidae. The transcript is spliced from 2 exons. The record is from RefSeq and is a predicted model, not a curated record.
UAGAAAAAUACAUUUUGCCGUACAUUUAUAACAAUAUUUUGCCUUUUACUGUUAACGUUAAUGUUUCACAAACCGUCAGUUUUAUGUUGAACAGUACGGAUCUCCGUGUUUUGGACCAUAAAGAAAAGUUUAAGUAAUCCAUGCUGAACAGUGACAAUUUAUUACAGUGUCGUGAUACUGUUAAAUGGUAUAGAGAUAGAGGCUCAUGAGAUACAGUAGAAAUGUAUCCUUUCCUUUUGGCAAAUGGUUUUUAUUAAUAUUUGCACAACACACUACCACAUGUAUGCUUUUACUGUAUGUUACUUAUUUUGAACAAUUUGGCAAACUGUAUCACGCAUUGGUAUAAAUUUUCAUCACUUCGCUGCACACGCUUAAAACAUUUGAGGAACGGUUGAUGUUGAUUAAGUUUCAGAUUUUUUUUUUCAUUUGACUUUCACAUAUCGCAACAAAAAAAAUAGUAUAAUCGAGUGUGCAAUAUAAAUUUUGAAUAAAUGGAUGGAAAUUGAAAUGUCAUUUCCACUUUUUUCUUCGAAUGUUUUACAAAUUUUUCGUGGCUGUGUUUAAUUGAAUGUAAAUUUUUUUAAGCGUGCUACGUUUGUUUUGCUCUUGACGUAGAAAAAGCGAAAAAAAAAGUUGUGAACCGAAAUUGAAAUUGAACGCGUGAAACGAAGGAAAUAUUUUAAAAUAAAGUAUGAAGGUUCCUUUGGAAUUGGAGUCUGCGAUUACACAGCUUGCCCAACACUGCGAUCGUGCUUGGACCGGAACUGGUGAUGUUUGUCGUGCUGUUCCGUCUCCGCAAGAUUCAUCGCCGCUCGCUCGCCAGUAAUCAAAAAUCGACCAGCGCAGCAAUCAACGAACAAGAUUUUUCAUAAUAAUAAGCCUUUGCAAGACAGGGCCAAAAUCAGCACAUUUAAUCACCGUGUAACUGCAGAAUAAUUAGGAUUUGGUUUCCUUUGGUUGAAGGAAGGGCAGCAAAACUCGGUCAACGUCCAACAACACGGGCCUUGCAAUCGGAAUCCGAGGAGCUCUGCAAGAUGAUGUUAACAAUUCUUUCCAUAUUUUGAAAUGGUGUAGUCGUGAUUAAAAGAAACAUUUCCAGGAAUUGAUCAACUUCAAAUGGUUCGUGGUUCUAGUUUUUUGUUAUAAUAAGUGCUAGUAUAAAUAUACAAAUUAUUUACAAUUCAA